CAUCGCCUGAAGCAACAAUUCCAGGUCCCGCCUGCCCAAUGAAAUUUUAAUGGCCGCAGUAUCCUGACUGUGCAAAGGUAGCAUAAUCAUUUGUCUCCUAAUUAGAGGCUGGCAUGAAUGGCGCCACGGGGCGGGAGCUACCCCUUAACUAACCGCCUAACUUAAUCUGUAAGUCAAAAAGCUUACAUCACCCCGCAGGACGAGAAGACCCCAUAGAGCUUAAUUGUUCACCGCGCUGCUCGCGUAGCCGACUCACUGCAGCGACGGGCCACAAUUUAGUUGGGGCGACUUGAAGCUAACUAACGCUUCAUACCCAAACCUGCAUGAUUGGACCUUUGACCCGGCAGCCGACUAUAAGAUCAAGCUACCUUGGGGAUAACAGCGUAAUCUAAUUUUAGAGCCCUCAUCAAAACUUAGGAUUGCGACCUCGAUGUUGGAUUAAGAUUCAGACCAGGUGUAGCCGCUUGAGUUUGGGGUCUGUUCGACCUUUAAAAUCUUACAUGAUCU
RNAcentral lists this ribosomal RNA (507 nucleotides) under Rheoptilum arni. RNAcentral describes it as "partial 16S ribosomal RNA". It matches the Rfam family "Bacterial large subunit ribosomal RNA", at positions 1827 to 2606 of the family's 2925-position model. Lineage: Eukaryota; Metazoa; Arthropoda; Insecta; Ephemeroptera; Baetidae. The record is from RNAcentral.